This 433-nucleotide ribosomal RNA is filed under the name uncultured bacterium. RNAcentral's name for it is "partial 16S ribosomal RNA". It matches the Rfam family "Bacterial small subunit ribosomal RNA", at positions 29 to 507 of the family's 1533-position model. The record is from RNAcentral.
AACGAACGCUGGCGGCAUGCCUAACACAUGCAAGUCGAACGAGACCUUCGGGUCUAGUGGCGCACGGGUGCGUAACGCGUGGGAACCUGCCCUUAGGUUCGGAAUAACUCCCCGAAAGGGGUGCUAAUACCGGAUAAUGUCUUCGGACCAAAGAUUUAUCGCCUUUGGAUGGGCCCGCGUUGGAUUAGCUAGUUGGUAGGGUAAAAGCCUACCAAGGCGACGAUCCAUAGCUGGUUUGAGAGAAUGAUCAGCCACACUGGGACUGAGACACGGCCCAGACUCCUACGGGAGGCAGCAGUGGGGAAUAUUGGACAAUGGGCGAAAGCCUGAUCCAGCAAUGCCGCGUGAGUGAUGAAGGCCUUAGGGUUGUAAAGCUCUUUUACCCGGGAUGAUAAUGACAGUACCGGGAGAAUAAGCUCCGGCUAACUCCGUG